RNAcentral lists this ribosomal RNA (410 nucleotides) under uncultured bacterium. RNAcentral describes it as "bacterial SSU rRNA". It matches the Rfam family "Bacterial small subunit ribosomal RNA", at positions 370 to 772 of the family's 1533-position model. The record is from RNAcentral.
AAUGGGCGCAAGCCUGAUCCAGCCAUGCCGCGUGCGGGAAGAAGGCCUUCGGGUUGUAAACCGCUUUUGUCAGGGAAGAAAAGUUCUGAGAUAACACCUCAGGACGAUGACGGUACCUGAAGAAUAAGCACCGGCUAACUACGUGCCAGCAGCCGCGGUAAUACGUAGGGUGCAAGCGUUAAUCGGAAUUACUGGGCGUAAAGCGUGCGCAGGCGGUUGUGCAAGACAGGUGUGAAAUCCCCGGGCUUAACCUGGGAACUGCACUUGUGACUGCACAGCUUGAGUGCGGCAGAGGGGGAUGGAAUUCCGCGUGUAGCAGUGAAAUGCGUAGAUAUGCGGAGGAACACCGAUGGCGAAGGCAAUCCCCUGGGCCUGCACUGACGCUCAUGCACGAAAGCGUGGGGAGCAAA